AAGCCCGGUCCGUUACCCGUUUCCAGCCCUAUUUCACCGUCUCCCCCAUCCUGUCGAUCUGCAGUCCGAGAAGAAGAUAUGAGUUCUCAGGGCCGAACAACCUCGCUCCAACGCCUUCAUCUCGUCGAGAAGCGAAUAGUUCGAGUGGUGGAGCUGGCGGGGUCGGUGAUGGACGAGCUCGCAAAUUCCACGGGGCCCAGAAAGGAUAUCCUCACCAACUAUUGCCGCGAGUUCAUGCAGUCCAUCAAGGACAUCCAAACAACAUUGCGUGAGGAAAUCAAAAGUGCUUGUGAGUAUCGUCCAUUUGAGAAGUGUGAUUAUAGUGAAAGGAUUUCUAAUGAGAUUUGUUGCAAGAAAUUGGAGUACAUUAUCGAGCAGUUGGAUGGUAUGCAACAAAGCAUUGUUCAGUGUAAAGAUGGAAUAUGAGAAGAAGCUAAACUUCAACUAGAUUAGACCUGCGAUUUUCUUUCUUAUCAGGAGUUCAGCUGUAAUAUUCUGUGAUUGGGUCUACGGUAUGGCUUAAAGUAAACGGAUCACCAUCAGAAACAAGAUACCACUUAAUAUCUCAAACGAUUAUUAGGAAUUGUGUUCUCUCUCUCUCUGUCUUGUAUAUGUUGAGAUAUAUUCAAUGAACUUGUUAUAGACUGAAAUUUAGUUCUGACUUCAGAUGCAUUAGCUGCAUGGGGUUAUUGUUUUGAAGACCAUGUUGCGGUGAUGCUUCAAUUAUAUUUAGGAAUACCUUACUAGGGAAUUCAUAAACAAUAUACAUGCAUGCUUUGCAAGCAAA
Elaeis guineensis (African oil palm) is the source of this 787-nucleotide long non-coding RNA. RefSeq annotates it as mediator of RNA polymerase II transcription subunit 11. Lineage: Eukaryota; Viridiplantae; Streptophyta; Magnoliopsida; Arecales; Arecaceae. The record is from RefSeq and is a predicted model, not a curated record.